AGGGAUGAAUUAUACAGUAACCAUAUUUACGUAGGUUCUGAGUGUUGCGAUUGCGACUAUUCGACCUAUCCGAAUGUCGGGUACCAUUGCUAGAUGGUCACUUCGAUUAGUACAGGAAUUGGUUCCUGUGCUACCGGCUUAGGUUCGAACCUGCGGGGUCACACACAUUAGAGGUUCCUAUCUGAUCUGAUGGCUGAUGAAGAGUCCUAAUACUCGUAGACUAUGAGUCC
This 230-nucleotide long non-coding RNA is filed under the name Elaeis guineensis (African oil palm). Its description in RNAcentral is "long non-coding RNA (EGUI_LNC051181)". The record is from RNAcentral. Lineage: Eukaryota; Viridiplantae; Streptophyta; Magnoliopsida; Arecales; Arecaceae.